RNAcentral lists this ribosomal RNA (394 nucleotides) under uncultured bacterium. RNAcentral describes it as "bacterial SSU rRNA". It matches the Rfam family "Bacterial small subunit ribosomal RNA", at positions 355 to 766 of the family's 1533-position model. The record is from RNAcentral.
UGGGGAAUAUUGCACAAUGGGGGAAACCCUGAUGCAGCGACGCCGCGUGGAGGAUGACGGCCUUCGGGUUGUAAACUCCUUUUGUCAGGGACAAUGGUGAUGGUACCUGACGAAUAAGCCACGGCUAACUCUGUGCCAGCAGCUGCGGUAAGACAGAGGUGGCGAGCGUUGUUCGGAAUUACUGGGCUUAAAGGGCGCGUAGGCGGUGGUGUAAGUCUGGGGUGGAAUGCUACAGCUCAACUGUAGAGCUGCCUUGGAAACUGCAUUACUCGAGUCGGUGAGGGGAAGGCGGAAUUCCUGGUGUAGCGGUGAAAUGCGUAGAUAUCAGGAGGAAGGUCUAUGGCGAAGGCGGCCUUCUGGCACUUGACUGACGCUGAGGCGCGAAAGCGUGGGG